CGGUGGAGCACGUGGUUUAAUUCGAAGCAACGCGAAGAACCUUACCAGGCCUUGACAUGCAGAGAACUUUCCAGAGAUGGAUUGGUGCCUUCGGGAACUCUGACACAGGUGCUGCAUGGCUGUCGUCAGCUCGUGCCGUGAGAUGUUGGGUUAAGUCCCGUAACGAGCGCAACCCUUGUCCUUAGUUACCAGCACGUUAUGGUGGGCACUCUAAGGAGACUGCCGGUGACAAACCGGAGGAAGGUGGGGAUGACGUCAAGUCAUCAUGGCCCUUACGGCCUGGGCUACACACGUGCUACAAUGGUCGGUACAAAGGGUUGCCAAGCCGCGAGGUGGAGCUAAUCCCAUAAAACCGAUCGCAGUCCGGAUCGCAGUCUGCAACUCGACUGCGUGAAGUCGGAAUCGCUAGUAAUCGUGAAUCAGAAUGUCACGGUGAAUACGUUCCCGGGCCUU
RNAcentral lists this ribosomal RNA (453 nucleotides) under uncultured Pseudomonas sp. RNAcentral describes it as "bacterial SSU rRNA". It matches the Rfam family "Bacterial small subunit ribosomal RNA", at positions 930 to 1382 of the family's 1533-position model. The record is from RNAcentral. Lineage: Bacteria; Pseudomonadati; Pseudomonadota; Gammaproteobacteria; Pseudomonadales; Pseudomonadaceae.